AAGAGACGUUGCCCUUCGGGGUAUACCUCCCACCCUUUGUUUAUUAUACCUUUGUUGCUUUGGCGGGCCCGUCCUCGGACCACCGGCUUCUGCUGGUCAGUGCCCGCCAGAGGACCUAAAACUCUGUUUGUUUAAUAUUGUCUGAGUACUAUAUAAUAGUUA
RNAcentral lists this unclassified non-coding RNA (162 nucleotides) under soil metagenome. RNAcentral's name for it is "partial internal transcribed spacer 1". The record is from RNAcentral.